GGUCGGGGAAGGAACCGAGGCCGGGUCCCCUUCUUAUCCAGCCCGAGACAUUGAGCUCCGGUGGGCGUCCCUACGCUGGGAAUCCCGCUCGGAGUUUUUCCAGGCCCGGCCGGGCUGCGCCGGGAAAGGCCCUGCUCCUGUUCCGCGCAGCCUCUCCGGCCUCGCCCCUGGAAACCCCGCCCAGGGCGAUGGUAGGGGCCUAACCUGCAGCCACCGCCGGCUCCGCCCACCCAGCCCAUGGGCUCCCUGAGGCCCGCCCAGCCGACGAAAACGCCGCGGCCGCGAUGGCGGCGGACGUGGAUGGGGACGUGUACGUGCUGGUGGAGCACCCCUUCGAGUACACCGGCAAGGACGGGCGCCGCGUGGCCAUCAGGCCGAAUGAGCGCUAUCGGCUGCUGCGGCGCAGCACCGAGCACUGGUGGCACGUGCGGCGUGAGCCCGGCGGCCGCCCCUUCUACCUGCCUGCGCAGUACGUGCGCGAGCUGCCCGCGCUGGGCAACCCUGCCGCCGCCCCGCUGCCAGGUCCCCACCCGAGCCCCGCGGCCCCUGAGCCGCUCGCCUACGACUACCGGUUUGUGAGCGCGGCGGCGGCCGCGGGCCCCGACGGCGCCCCCGCGGAGUCCGGAGGCCGAGCCAGCUCCCUGUGCGGCCCUGCGCUACGCGGCGCCGCGACCCAGCGCAGCAGCCCGGCGCCGGGCCUGCCAGCCUGCCUGUACCUGCGGCCCGCGGCGCCCGUGCGGCCCGCGCAGUCCCUGGACGACCUGGCCUGCACCGCCGUCUUGCCUCCCGCCGGCCUCCUAGGAAGCAGCGGCAGCUUCAAGGCCUGCAGCGUGGCGGGCUCCUGGGUGUGCCCGCGGCCCCUGGCGCGCAGCGACUCAGAGAACGUCUACGAGGUCAUCCAGGACUUGCACGUCCAGCCGCGGGAGGAGAGCGCAGAGCAGGUGGACGACCCCCCGGAGCCCGUGUACGCGAACAUAGAGAGGCAGCCCCGGGCCACUUCACCGGGUGCCGCUGCAGCCCCCCUUCCCAGCCCGGUGUGGGAGACGCACACGGACGCGGGCACCGGGCGCCCCUACUACUACAACCCAGACACGGGAGUUACCACCUGGGAGUCGCCCUUUGAGGCUGCCGAGGGUGCCGCCAGCCCAGCCACCUCCCCUGCCUCGGUGGACAGCCACGUGAGCCUUGAGACCGAGUGGGGCCAGUACUGGGAUGAGGAGAGCCGCAGGGUGUUCUUCUACAACCCGCUGACGGGCGAGACGGCCUGGGAGGACGAGGCCGAGAACGAUCCCGAGGAGGAGUUGGAGAUGCAGCCGGGCCUGAGCCCUGGCAGCCCCGGGGACCCGCGGCCCCCCACUCCCGAGACGGACUACCCCGAGUCACUGACCAGUUACCCCGAGGAGGAUUAUUCUCCCGUGGGCUCUUUCGGUGAGCCCGGCCCUACCUCUCCCUUGACUACACCCCCCGGCUGGUCUUGUCAUGUCAGCCAGGACAAGCAGAUGCUCUACACCAACCACUUCACCCAGGAGCAGUGGGUGAGGCUGGAGGACCCCCACGGGAAGCCAUACUUCUACAAUCCAGAGGACUCCUCUGUUCGAUGGGAGCUGCCCCAGGUAACAACCUGGGGAAAGAGGGGUGUUGGGGAGAGAGGAAGAGAUUACAUACGGCUGUGUCUUUCUCCCCAGGUCCCUGUCCCUGCCCCUCGAAGCAUCCAUAAAGCCAGCCAGGAUGGUGACACCCCAGCCCAGGCCAGCCCUCCAGAGGAGAAGACCAAGACCUUGGACAAGGCAGGGGUGCUCCAUCGCACCAAGACGGCAGACAAGGGAAAGCGGCUCCGGUGAGAGCCCAUCUACACUCAGGCCGGGGCAGGGUGGACCUUGGUGACGAUGUUCACUGAGCACUUCCUGUAUGCGAGGCUCUUAUUAAUCCUCACAACAACUUCGUGAGUGGUCCUCUGUGGACCCUGAGACACUGUGAGAUAAAGUGACUUGCUCAAGAUCCCUCGGCUGCUAGGUGUUAGAGUCGGGAUUCCAGCCCUCAUAAUGGGGUACCCUAGCCUGUGUUCCUAAGCUCUGACUUGUUCCUGGGGUAGGAGGGGCCCUCAGCCCAGGACCAAAUCUAAGUCCUGCCACCCCCACUUCCCCACCCCUACCUAGGAAGAAGCACUGGAGUGCCUCCUGGACUGUGCUGGAGGGUGGCGUCCUGACAUUCUUCAAGGACUCAAAGACCUCGGCUGCAGGCGGCCUGAGGCAGCCUUCCAAGUUUUCCACCCCUGAAUACACAGUGGAGCUGAGGGGGGCCAUUCUCUCCUGGGCCCCCAAAGACAAAUCCAGUAGGAAGAAUGUGCUGGAGCUGCGGAGCCGAGAUGGCUCCGAGUACCUGAUCCAGCAUGACUCAGAGGCCAUCAUCAGCACCUGGCAUAAGGCCAUUGCUCAGGGCAUCCAGGAGCUGUCCGCAGAGCUGCCCCCAGAGGAGGAGAGCGAGAGCAGCAGAGCGGACUUCGGGUCGAGUGAGCGCCUGGGAAGCUGGCAGGAGAAAGAGGAGGACGCGCGACCGAAUGCAGCCACGCCCGCCCUGAGCCCCGGGGGCCUGGAGAGCGACGUGAGCAAGGUCCGGCACAAGCUCCGCAAGUUCCUCCAGAGGCGGCCCACACUGCAGUCGCUGCGGGAGAAGGGCUACAUCAAAGACCAGGUGUUCGGCUGCGCGCUGGCCGCGCUGUGUGAGCGCGAGAGGAGCCGGGUGCCACGCUUCGUGCAGCAGUGCAUCCGCGCCGUCGAGGCCCGCGGGCUGGACAUCGACGGGCUGUACCGCAUCAGUGGAAACCUAGCCACCAUCCAGAAGCUACGCUAUAAGGUGGACCACGAUGAGCGCCUUGACCUGGACGAUGGGCGCUGGGAGGACGUCCACGUUAUCACCGGAGCCCUGAAGCUCUUCUUUCGGGAGCUGCCCGAGCCCCUCUUCCCCUUCUCGCACUUCCGCCAGUUCAUUGCGGCCAUCAAGUUGCAGGACCAGGCCCAGCGCAGCCGCUGUGUGCGUGACUUGGUGCGCUCGCUGCCCGCCCCCAACCACGACACUCUGAGGAUGCUCUUCCAGCAUCUCUGCCGGGUGAUCGAGCACGGCGAGCAGAACCGCAUGUCGGUGCAGAGCGUGGCCAUUGUGUUCGGGCCCACGCUGCUGCGGCCCGAGGUGGAAGAGACCAGCAUGCCCAUGACCAUGGUGUUCCAGAACCAGGUGGUGGAGCUCAUCCUGCAGCAGUGCGCGGACAUCUUCCCGCCGCACUGACUGCUGGCCUGUGACUGGGGCGGCGGCCGCGGUCCUGCCACACAAGCUGGGCUGCGGAGGCCACGCAGCCGGGCCUUCUCUCUGGGACCCUCCGCCAGUGCAUAGCCGCAGGCCGGUGCGACUUCUGCACCCUCGGUUCUGAGGGUACGGUGACCCCUAGGGGGCAGUUUGCAAAAUGUGAUUCCUUUCCCCCAACUCCCCAUCCCCCACUCCCCUCCCCGUUACGUCCUGUUUGGGGGUUAAUUAGGUUUUUUCUCUGUUGCAUCGCGCCUACUGUGCGUGUGCGAUAGCGUGUGUGGGAGUGAGAGUUUGUUUUCUGGAAUGGUAGGCGCUGGGAGGAGGAGUUUGAUGGGGGGCUUCCUGGCUGCUUCUGGCCCUCACCUCGUGGAGGCCUUCACAGAGACCCUGUGGGCCCUGGCCCUGUGCUGGCACUGUGCCAGUCCUGAAGCAGCUGUGAUCACUUCCCCACUGUGGAAACAGGACUGACCCAGCCUUCGGCGUGGGCGGCUGAAGCUAUCCUCCUGAGGCCUCAGGGAUGACCUCCUGCCUGAGCCUCUCACAGGCUGGCUGUGGGCCAGUUUCAUCUGCUUUCCUGUUGGGGGUCCCGGGCCUCUGCUGUCCCUGACCCACUGGUGUUCUGUGCAAGGCUUCUUCCCAUUCACCAAGUGCACACCUUGCGUCUGCCGCUCGGCGUGCAGCAGUUCCACACGCCAUCCCAUUUCACAGACAAGGACGCUGAGGCCUGCAGCAGCAGUGUGACUUGCUCAAGGUCUAGUGAGUGACCUCCUUCCCCAGAAAAGGCUCCUCCCACACCAGAGUAUAGCCUGGGUAGGGGGGAAAUCAGUUCUUUCAGCUACCACCCCUCCAACCUUUGGGCCUAUGCGAAAAGAAAGGAACUAAGCUGGGUGUGUUCUGUCUGGACCUGGGGAGGCCCCUGAAGGCAAAGAGGGAACCUGUCCCAGCUGUUCUGUCCUAGGGGAGGGGGACAUAGCCCUAGCAGGAGCUCCCAGCCCCUCUUGGCACUCUGACACACAAGUACGCCCAUUUGGGGCCCGCUUUGCCAUGAAGAUCUGGGCAGGCCUGCAGGGUGUGGGGAAGGAGGACACAACCUCAAGAAAGGAAGCGUGAACCCCAGGGAACAGCGGGUCCCUUCCCUCCUCAGACACAAGCCAUCUCAGCUUGUGGCUCUUGGCCCCCAGCCCCACCCACCCACCUGUUCAUUUAUUCAACAGACAAUGACAGCUGAUAUUUAUUGGACAUUUGCACCAUGCCAAGCAUUCGGCUUGGAUUAUCCCAUUUGUUUCUCACAGCCGGUAUUUAUUGUCUGCUCUUCUGUGCCAGGUGCUGUGGCUCUGGGCAGGGGCACUGCAUGGGCUGCCUGCCCUGGUGGAGCUUGUGGUCUGAUGGGUGAGGCUGACCCCAGCCCACCCCAUUGCCAGCAGGGCCAGGGCAAGAGUACACACAGGGGCUUCAUACCAUAUGUCUAAAUAUUUAAAAGUUAUCAAUCAAGCUAACAACCUUUAAAUAAAAUAUGUUCUAUUCUCCU
RNAcentral lists this small RNA (4828 nucleotides) under Pongo abelii (Sumatran orangutan). Its description in RNAcentral is "retained intron". The record is from RNAcentral. Lineage: Eukaryota; Metazoa; Chordata; Mammalia; Primates; Hominidae.